GACGAACGCUGGCGGCGUGCUUAACACAUGCAAGUCGUACGGUAAGGCCCUUUCGGGGGUACACGAGUGGCGAACGGGUGAGUAACACGUGAGUAGCCUGCCCACAACUUUGGGAUAACGCUAGGAAACUGGUGCUAAUACUGGAUAUGUGCUCCUGCUGCAUGGUGGGGGUUGGAAAGCUCCGGCGGUUGUGGGUGGACUCGCGGCCUAUCAGCUUGUUGGUGGGGUAGUGGCCUACCAAGGCGGCGACGGGUAGCCGGCCUGAGAGGGUGACCGGCCACAUUGGGACUGAGAUACGGCCCAGACUCCUACGGGAGGCAGCAGUGGGGAAUAUUGCACAAUGGGCGCAAGCCUGAUGCAGCAACGCCGCGUGCGGGAUGACGGCCUUCGGGUUGUAAACCGCUUUCAGCAGGGACGAAGCUUUUUGUGACGGUACCUGCAGAAGAAGCACCGGCUAACUACGUG
RNAcentral lists this ribosomal RNA (465 nucleotides) under uncultured bacterium. Its description in RNAcentral is "partial 16S ribosomal RNA". It matches the Rfam family "Bacterial small subunit ribosomal RNA", at positions 28 to 507 of the family's 1533-position model. The record is from RNAcentral.